Molecule: long non-coding RNA, 1362 nt
Filed under: Oryctolagus cuniculus (rabbit)
Lineage: Eukaryota; Metazoa; Chordata; Mammalia; Lagomorpha; Leporidae
Description: lncRNA (ENSOCUG00000039199.1)
Source: RNAcentral
AAUUGGCCCUUUUUAAAAAAACAAUAUAAGCCAGAUUUGCUAUUACUAAUUUGACAUAAUCUGGAAAAUUGUAUUUUGCUCUUGUUUUCUGCAAUGUGCUCAAUUAUAGUGCUUCAAAGGUGAAUGAUAUAAUCAAACUGACAAAGCUGCUGCCUUUCAUAACGUGGUUUUUCUUCUGUACAUCACUGGGACAUGUCUCCAUGUAACGGUGCCUCACCUCAGUUUUUUCUAUCUCAACCUACCCAUCAAAAGGUGUCCCUUUGUUGCUUUUAAUUCCUUCAGACAAGAAUUCACAUGAAUCAAUAGAGAAGGAGAAUACAGACAGGAAAUAUAAAGAACAUUCUGAGAAAAUUAGGUUAAAUCUGGAAUGGAAUACUAGAUGAUUUUGACGGUGCAAGAACUCCAGAAAUGGUCAUCAAGAUCCAAGUUCCAAGCUAUUUCUAGCGUCUUCAUCCACCUUCUUUCACUUGUGGCUUUUAUCCUCCUGUCCAUAACAUUUCUGUCCCACCCCCCAGGCAUCAUGGCUACAUUCCUGGAAGAGAGAAAGAUACAAGAUUCUAUAUUUAUAUUUUUUAUUUUCAUCUGGUUGGAGGAGAAUUGAAAUUUUACUUCUCAUGGAAGGUCUGCAAAACUCUUCAGUCAUAUUGAGCUAUUUUACACGAGGAAAUGCAGACAUGCUAAGGUCAAGUGAUUUACCUCCAUCAUACGACUAAUCAAUACCAGAGCAAGGAGGAGACCACAGUCACAGGACUCACUCAGUGUGCCAAGCCUUAUUAAACAACGCAGACUCGUGUAUAUCGGAUACGCGGACUGAACUAUUGAGACUGGACCGCUCAUUUCCACCCAGGUGGAAAUGUGUGUACAAGGCCUGUUAAACAUGAUAUAUUCCUAAUGUACUGCAAUUACCGAAACACCUGUGGCCUAGAAGUCGCUGUGUUCUGGAGGGAAAAGGCUUCGCUCAUUCAAAUAGUUUGCUUCACAUUUCAUUGCCUUUACCUGCGGUUAUAUGACCUACUGGUUCCACAUUAACGUAAGUCACAAGAACUGGUGCUUAAUUAUAGUGACUGAGGUGUGACUGUGUUGAUUUGUGGGUUUUAUUUUUCUUUCUUAGAUUUUUUUGGUAGUUUCAGUAGCCUGUUAUGAAAAAAAAAUAUGUUGCAACUGUGUUCAACAAUUCUGAGAAAGCCAUCUGCCUAAGAUAUCACUGAAUGGUAAAUACUCCCACUAAAAUAGGAUUCAACAUCCACCUAGAAUCUGGAAAUUUCCCCCGUAAGUCCUCUAGUUCAAUCACACGCCGCAGGCACUUGCCCCACAACAGGUGGGAAUCCAUUUGAGAGAGUGAUCCAAAGGGCAAUUCUCUUU